UAAUCUCUGUAGAGUCUGCACUAUCAAUAAGCGGAGGAAAAGAAACUAACUAGGAUUCCCUUAGUAACGGCGAGUGAAGCGGGAAGAGCUCAAAUUUGAAAUCUUCAAGGUUCUACCUUGACGAAUUGUAGUUUAAAGAAGUGUUUUCUGUUGGAGUUUUGGUAAAAGUUCUUUGGAAUAGGACAUCAUAGAGGGUGAGAAUCCCGUAUUUGACCAUUAUCUUUCCAGCUUUGUGAUACACUUUCAAAGAGUCGGAUUGUUUGGGAAUGCAGUCCAAAAUGGGUGGUAAAUUUCAUCUAAAGCUAAAUAUUGGCGAGAGACCGAUAGCGAACGAGUACCGUGAGGGAAAGAUGAAAAGAACUUUGAAAAGAGAGUUAAACAGUACGUGAAAUUGUCAAAAGGGAAGCGUUUGACACCAGUGUUGUUUUCUCGAAAAUCAAUUAAAAAAGGCAGGAUUUUGUGUUGUAUUGACUUUAUCAGCUUUCUGCACUCUUUUCUUGUCUUUUUUUAAUGCACUUUUCGUUUAACAAGUCAACAUCAAUUUCUUUUGUUGUAAAAGGGUCAUUGGAAGGUGGCUUUCUUUUCGGAGAAAGUGUUUAUAGCCUUUGGCCUCUGCAAUCGGAGAGAUUGAGGUCUGCAGCGUAGAUCCUUCGGGGUUAGAUACAUUUGUGCUAAGUUAUAGCCUUUCAUAGACAACUUGUUGACUAUGAUCAGUCAUGUAGCUUACUCGCUUAUGCUAUUUUACCUACGCUUAGGAUGUUGAUAGUCACAGCGUGUAC
RNAcentral lists this ribosomal RNA (779 nucleotides) under uncultured Neocallimastigales. RNAcentral's name for it is "partial large subunit ribosomal RNA". It matches the Rfam family "Eukaryotic large subunit ribosomal RNA", at positions 35 to 629 of the family's 3401-position model. Lineage: Eukaryota; Fungi; Neocallimastigomycota; Neocallimastigomycetes; Neocallimastigales. The record is from RNAcentral.